RNAcentral lists this ribosomal RNA (253 nucleotides) under uncultured bacterium. RNAcentral describes it as "partial 16S ribosomal RNA". It matches the Rfam family "Bacterial small subunit ribosomal RNA", at positions 524 to 776 of the family's 1533-position model. The record is from RNAcentral.
UACGUAGGUGGCUAGCGUUGUCCGGAUUUACUGGGCGUAAAGAGCGCGCAGGCGGUCGUUCAAGUCGAGUGUGAAAGCCCCCGGCUCAACUGGGGAGGGUCACUCGAUACUGAUCGACUCGAAGGCAGAAGAGGGAAGCGGAAUUCCCGGUGUAGUGGUGAAAUGCGUAGAUAUCGGGAGGAACACCAGUGGCGAAGGCGGCUUUCUGGUCUGCUCUUGACGCUGAGGCGCGAAAGCUAGGGGAGCAAACGGG